RNAcentral lists this ribosomal RNA (497 nucleotides) under uncultured bacterium. RNAcentral describes it as "partial 16S ribosomal RNA". It matches the Rfam family "Bacterial small subunit ribosomal RNA", at positions 28 to 507 of the family's 1533-position model. The record is from RNAcentral.
GAUGAACGUUGGCGGCGUGCCUAAUACAUGCAAGUCGAGCGAACGGACGAGAAGCUUGCUUCUCUGAUGUUAGCGGCGGACGGGUGAGUAACACGUGGAUAACCUACCUAUAAGACUGGGAUAACUUCGGGAAACCGGAGCUAAUACCGGAUAAUAUUUUGAACCGCAUGGUUCAAAAGUGAAAGACGGUCUUGCUGUCACUUAUAGAUGGAUCCGCGCUGCAUUAGCUAGUUGGUAAGGUAACGGCUUACCAAGGCAACGAUGCAUAGCCGACCUGAGAGGGUGAUCGGCCACACUGGAACUGAGACACGGUCCAGACUCCUACGGGAGGCAGCAGUAGGGAAUCUUCCGCAAUGGGCGAAAGCCUGACGGAGCAACGCCGCGUUAGUGAUGAAGGUCUUCGGAUCGUAAAACUCUGUUAUUAGGGAAGAACAUAUGUGUAAGUAACUGUGCACAUCUUGACGGUACCUAAUCAGAAAGCCACGGCUAACUACGUG